AAAUAGAUACCCAGGUAGUCCAUGCCGUAAACGUUGGGAACUAGAUGUGGGGACCAUUCCACGGUCUCCGUGUCGCAGCUAACGCAUUAAGUUCCCCGCCUGGGGAGUACGGCCGCAAGGCUAAAACUCAAAGGAAUUGACGGGGGCCCGCACAAGCGGCGGAGCAUGCGGAUUAAUUCGAUGCAACGCGAAGAACCUUACCAAGGCUUGACAUAUACGAGAACGCUCUGGAAACAGAGAACUCUUUGGACACUCGUAUACAGGUGGUGCAUGGUUGUCGUCAGCUCGUGUCGUGAGAUGUUGGGUUAAGUCCCGCAACGAGCGCAACCCUCGUCUUAUGUUGCCAGCACGGUUAUGGUGGGGACUCAUAAGAGACUGCCGGGGUCAACUCGGAGGAAGGUGGGGAUGAGGUCAAAUCAUCAUGCCCCUUAUGUCUUGGGCUUCACGCAUGCUACAAUGGCCGGUACAAAGGGCAGCAAUACCGCGAGGUGGAGCGAAUCCCGAAAAAGCCGGUCUCAGUUCGGAUUGAGGUCUGA
RNAcentral lists this ribosomal RNA (536 nucleotides) under uncultured bacterium. RNAcentral describes it as "bacterial SSU rRNA". It matches the Rfam family "Bacterial small subunit ribosomal RNA", at positions 776 to 1308 of the family's 1533-position model. The record is from RNAcentral.